This 72-nucleotide transfer RNA is filed under the name Hypselobarbus jerdoni (Jerdon's carp). Its description in RNAcentral is "tRNA-Gly". It matches the Rfam family "tRNA". Rfam says of the family: Transfer RNA (tRNA) molecules are approximately 80 nucleotides in length. Their secondary structure includes four short double-helical elements and three loops (D, anti-codon, and T loops). Further hydrogen bonds mediate the characteristic L-shaped molecular structure. tRNAs have two regions of fundamental functional importance: the anti-codon, which is responsible for specific mRNA codon recognition, and the 3' end, to which the tRNAs corresponding amino acid is attached (by aminoacyl-tRNA synthetases). tRNAs cope with the degeneracy of the genetic code in two manners: having more than one tRNA (with a specific anti-codon) for a particular amino acid; and 'wobble' base-pairing, i.e. permitting non-standard base-pairing at the 3rd anti-codon position. Lineage: Eukaryota; Metazoa; Chordata; Actinopteri; Cypriniformes; Cyprinidae. The record is from RNAcentral.
AUCUUUCUAGUAUCAAAGUUAGUACAAGUGACUUCCAAUCACACAGUCUUGGUUUAAACCCAGGGAAAGAUA